GGCUGGUCCGAGUGCAGUCGUGUUUACAACUAAUAGAUCACAACCAGUUACAAAGUUCUUCCUUCCUUCUCUAUUACCACUGCUUCACUUGACCUGCCUUUA
Molecule: unclassified non-coding RNA, 102 nt
Organism: Cercocebus atys (sooty mangabey)
Lineage: Eukaryota; Metazoa; Chordata; Mammalia; Primates; Cercopithecidae
Rfam family: Y RNA
About the family: Y RNAs are components of the Ro ribonucleoprotein particle (Ro RNP), in association with Ro60 and La proteins. The Y RNAs and Ro60 and La proteins are well conserved, but the function of the Ro RNP is not known.
Source: Ensembl